CCCCGGUAACCCAGCCUGGCGCCUCGGCCUAGGGGAGGGACGCCUGUUCCCCAGGACCGAGGCCUGUGCCGUCCCCACCCGCCCCAACAUGGUGCUCAUCCUUGCCGAGACCCCUGCGGUCCGUGCCCGCGCCCAGCCCAGCUGCCCCGGCUGCACGCCUGCUGCUCCAAGCUCGCCCGGCUGCCACGAGCUCUCUGCGGGUCCAUCCUCCCCACCGGGGUCCGUCCUCGCAGGCCCUGCCCGGCCUCUCUGCAGACACUCAAGCGUCGUCUGCAUGAGUGAGCAGGUGUGGGUAGACUCUGGCCGCGGCCACACUUGGUGCUCACCAGCUGCUUCGGCCUUCAGGUGACCUCCUUCCCCACGGCGUCCUGUUCUCCGGGUGGAAGAGCAGCUUUCUGUCUCCCAGAAGGCAUCGCUUUUCCCUCUUGAGCAGAUCGGAGCCCCUGGGAGGUUUGGAAGCUGCCUCCAAGCCUAGGACACGGACCGGUGGCCGGGGCGGCCUCUGGACCCUGACGCUGGCUGAGACAGGCCCGUGGGGCAGGGUUUUGGGGCGUGAAAG
RNAcentral lists this long non-coding RNA (559 nucleotides) under Pan troglodytes (chimpanzee). Its description in RNAcentral is "long non-coding RNA NONPTRT007903". The record is from RNAcentral. Lineage: Eukaryota; Metazoa; Chordata; Mammalia; Primates; Hominidae.